GCUAAUCUGCGAUAAGCGCCGGUAAGGUGAUAUGAACCGUUAUAACCGGCGAUACCCGAAUGGGGAAACCCAGUGUGAUUCGUCACACUAUCAUUAACUGAAUCCAUAGGUUAAUGAGGCGAACCGGGGGAACUGAAACAUCUAAGUACCCCGAGGAAAAGAAAUCAACCGAGAUUCCCCCAGUAGCGGCGAGCGAACGGGGAGGAGCCCAGAGCCUGAAUCAGCAUGUGUGUUAGUGGAAGCGUCUGGAAAGGCGCGCGAUACAGGGUGACAGCCCCGUACACAAAAGCGCAUGUGCUGUGAGCUCGAUGAGUAGGGCGGGACACGUGGUAUCCUGUCUGAAUAUGGGGGGACCAUCCUCCAAGGCUAAAUACUCCUGACUGACCGAUAGUGAACCAGUACCGUGAGGGAAAGGCGAAAAGAACCCCGGCGAGGGGAGUGAAAAAGAACCUGAAACCGUGUACGUACAAGCAGUGGGAGCACCCUUUGGGUGUGACUGCGUACCUUUUGUAUAAUGGGUCAGCGACUUAUAUUCUGUAGCAAGGUUAACCGAAUAGGGGAGCCGGAGGGAAACCGAGUCUUAACCGGGCGUUAAGUUGCAGGGUAUAGACCCGAAACCCGGUGAUCUAGCCAUGGGCAGGUUGAAGGUUGGGUAACACUAACUGGAGGACCGAACCGACUAAUGUUGAAAAAUUAGCGGAUGACCUGUGGCUGGGGGUGAAAGGCCAAUCAAACCGGGAGAUAGCUGGUUCUCCCCGAAAGCUAUUUAGGUAGCGCCUCGUGAAUUCAUCUCCGGGGGUAGAGCACUGUUUCGGCUAGGGGGCCAUCCCGGCUUACCAACCCGAUGCAAACUGCGAAUACCGGAGAAUGUUAUCACGGGAGACACACGGCGGGUGCUAACGUCCGUCGUGAAGAGGGAAACAACCCAGACCGCCAGCUAAGGUCCCAAAGUCAUGGUUAAGUGGGAAACGAUGUGGGAAGGCCCAGACAGCCAGGAUGUUGGCUUAGAAGCAGCCAUCAUUUAAAGAAAGCGUAAUAGCUCACUGGUCGAGUCGGCCUGCGCGGAAGAUGUAACGGGGCUAAACCAUGCACCGAAGCUGCGGCAGCGACACUGUGUGUUGUUGGGUAGGGGAGCGUUCUGUAAGCCUGUGAAGGUGUGUCGUGAGGCAUGCUGGAGGUAUCAGAAGUGCGAAUGCUGACAUAAGUAACGAUAAAGCGGGUGAAAAGCCCGCUCGCCGGAAGACCAAGGGUUCCUGUCCAACGUUAAUCGGGGCAGGGUGAGUCGACCCCUAAGGCGAGGCCGAAAGGCGUAGUCGAUGGGAAACGGGUUAAUAUUCCCGUACUUGGUGUUACUGCGAAGGGGGGACGGAGAAGGCUAUGUUGGCCGGGCGACGGUUGUCCCGGUUUAAGCGUGUAGGUGUGUGUUCCAGGUAAAUCCGGUUCACUUUAACACUGAGGCGUGACGACGAGGCACUACGGUGCUGAAGCAACAAAUGCCCUGCUUCCAGGAAAAGCCUCUAAGCAUCAGGUAACAUCAAAUCGUACCCCAAACCGACACAGGUGGUCAGGUAGAGAAUACCAAGGCGCUUGAGAGAACUCGGGUGAAGGAACUAGGCAAAAUGGUGCCGUAACUUCGGGAGAAGGCACGCUGACACGUAGGUGAAGUGAUUUACUCAUGGAGCUGAAGUCAGUCGAAGAUACCAGCUGGCUGCAACUGUUUAUUAAAAACACAGCACUGUGCAAACACGAAAGUGGACGUAUACGGUGUGACGCCUGCCCGGUGCCGGAAGGUUAAUUGAUGGGGUCAGCGCAAGCGAAGCUCCUGAUCGAAGCCCCGGUAAACGGCGGCCGUAACUAUAACGGUCCUAAGGUAGCGAAAUUCCUUGUCGGGUAAGUUCCGACCUGCACGAAUGGCGUAAUGAUGGCCAGGCUGUCUCCACCCGAGACUCAGUGAAAUUGAACUCGCUGUGAAGAUGCAGUGUACCCGCGGCAAGACGGAAAGACCCCGUGAACCUUUACUAUAGCUUGACACUGAACAUUGAGCCUUGAUGUGUAGGAUAGGUGGGAGGCUUUGAAGUGUGGACGCCAGUCUGCAUGGAGCCGACCUUGAAAUACCACCCUUUAAUGUUUGAUGUUCUAACGUGGACCCGUUACCCGGGUUGCGGACAGUGUCUGGUGGGUAGUUUGACUGGGGCGGUCUCCUCCUAAAGAGUAACGGAGGAGCACGAAGGUUGGCUAAUCCUGGUCGGACAUCAGGAGGUUAGUGCAAUGGCAUAAGCCAGCUUGACUGCGAGCGUGACGGCGCGAGCAGGUGCGAAAGCAGGUCAUAGUGAUCCGGUGGUUCUGAAUGGAAGGGCCAUCGCUCAACGGAUAAAAGGUACUCCGGGGAUAACAGGCUGAUACCGCCCAAGAGUUCAUAUCGACGGCGGUGUUUGGCACCUCGAUGUCGGCUCAUCACAUCCUGGGGCUGAAGUAGGUCCCAAGGGUAUGGCUGUUCGCCAUUUAAAGUGGUACGCGAGCUGGGUUUAGAACGUCGUGAGACAGUUCGGUCCCUAUCUGCCGUGGGCGCUGGAGAACUGAGGGGGGCUGCUCCUAGUACGAGAGGACCGGAGUGGACGCAUCACUGGUGUUCGGGUUGUCAUGCCAAUGGCACUGCCCGGUAGCUAAAUGCGGAAGAGAUAAGUGCUGAAAGCAUCUAAGCACGAAACUUGCCCCGA
RNAcentral lists this ribosomal RNA (2717 nucleotides) under Salmonella enterica subsp. enterica serovar Enteritidis. RNAcentral's name for it is "partial 23S ribosomal RNA". It matches the Rfam family "Bacterial large subunit ribosomal RNA". The record is from RNAcentral. Lineage: Bacteria; Pseudomonadati; Pseudomonadota; Gammaproteobacteria; Enterobacterales; Enterobacteriaceae.